CAGUCGAGCGGUAGAGAGAAGCUUGCUUCUCUUGAGAGCGGCGGACGGGUGAGUAAUGCCUAGGAAUCUGCCUGGUAGUGGGGGAUAACGUCCGGAAACGGACGCUAAUACCGCAUACGUCCUACGGGAGAAAGCAGGGGACCUUCGGGCCUUGCGCUAUCAGAUGAGCCUAGGUCGGAUUAGCUAGUUGGUGAGGUAAUGGCUCACCAAGGCGACGAUCCGUAACUGGUCUGAGAGGAUGAUCAGUCACACUGGAACUGAGACACGGUCCAGACUCCUACGGGAGGCAGCAGUGGGGAAUAUUGGACAAUGGGCGAAAGCCUGAUCCAGCCAUGCCGCGUGUGUGAAGAAGGUCUUCGGAUUGUAAAGCACUUUAAGUUGGGGAGGAAGGGCAUUAACCUAAUACGUUAGUGUUUUGACGUUACCGACAGAAUAAGCACCGGCUAACUCUGUGCCAGCAGCCGCGGUAAUACAG
Molecule: ribosomal RNA, 475 nt
Filed under: Pseudomonas sp.
Lineage: Bacteria; Pseudomonadati; Pseudomonadota; Gammaproteobacteria; Pseudomonadales; Pseudomonadaceae
Description: bacterial SSU rRNA
Rfam family: Bacterial small subunit ribosomal RNA
Source: RNAcentral